GCUUUGCCAACCUGUAGUCAGUAGAGCUGCAUAAGACAGGAUGAAACCGUCACAGUGAUCUGCUGGCUGUCUCUGCAGGUUAUCUGGGUGCAGCAGGAAGCUACCUGGGAGCCGGUCUGGGCGCUGGAGGCUACGGAGCAGGUUUGGGGCAGGGAGCUUACCUGGGAGGGGCAGCCGGAAAACUGGGAGGUUAUGGUGACGGGGUGAACGGAUACCUCGGCGCUGUGGCAGGAAACGGCUUUGGU
Molecule: long non-coding RNA, 245 nt
Organism: Oryzias melastigma (Indian medaka)
Lineage: Eukaryota; Metazoa; Chordata; Actinopteri; Beloniformes; Adrianichthyidae
Exons: 3
Source: RefSeq, a predicted model, not a curated record